RNAcentral lists this ribosomal RNA (460 nucleotides) under uncultured bacterium. Its description in RNAcentral is "partial 16S ribosomal RNA". It matches the Rfam family "Bacterial small subunit ribosomal RNA", at positions 338 to 795 of the family's 1533-position model. The record is from RNAcentral.
CCUACGGGGGGCAGCAGUGAGGAAUAUUGGUCAAUGGACGAGAGUCUGAACCAGCCAAGUAGCGUGAAGGAUGACUGCCCUAUGGGUUGUAAACUUCUUAUAUAUGGGAAUAAAAUGUUCCACGUGUGGGAUUUUGUAUGUACCAUAUGAAUAAGUAUCGGCUAACUACGUGCCAGCAGCCGCGGUAAUACGGAGGAUCCGAGCGUUAUCCGGAUUUAUUGGGUUUAAAGGGAGCGUAGGUGGAUUGUUAAGUCAGUAGUGAAAGUUUGCGGCUCAACCGUAAAAUUGCAGUUGAAACUGGCAGUCUUGAGUACAGUAGAGGUGGGCGGAAUUCGUGGUGUAGCGGUGAAAUGCUUAGAUAUCACGAAGAACUCCGAUUGCGAAGGCAGUUCACUGGACUGCAACUGACACUGAGGCUCGAAAGUGUGGGUAUCAAACAGGAUUAGAUACCCUUGUAGUC